Molecule: ribosomal RNA, 166 nt
Filed under: Leonardoxa africana subsp. africana
Lineage: Eukaryota; Viridiplantae; Streptophyta; Magnoliopsida; Fabales; Fabaceae
Description: 5.8S ribosomal RNA
Rfam family: 5.8S ribosomal RNA
About the family: 5.8S ribosomal RNA (5.8S rRNA) is a component of the large subunit of the eukaryotic ribosome.
Source: RNAcentral
AACGACUCUCGGCAACGGAUAUCUCGGCUCUCGCAUCGAUGAAGAACGUAGCGAAAUGCGAUACUUGGUGUGAAUUGCAGAAUCCCGUGAACCAUCGAGUCUUUGAACGCAAGUUGCGCCCGAASCCAUWDKGCCGAGGGCACGUCUGGCUGGGUGUCACACAACG